UAUUUAUCCGUUAUAGAGACAGUGGGCAUAGUUUUAUUUCAGGGAUCUGAUGUAAGCUACGACGAAGCAUGCAGAUGUUUCAUAUCAGACGAAGAUAGGGAUCAAGCAAUCAGAUACGUCGUAGUCUUCUUACUAGCGACUAGGGAUGGAUGGAAUCACAUUUCAGUACUUAUGAGAAUCAAAGUCUUUGGUUUGGGGGGAGUAUGGUCGCAAGACUGAAACUUAAAGGAAGUGGACGGAAGGGCACACAGGAGUGGAGCCUGCGGCUUAAUUUGACUCAACAAGAGAGAAACGACCAGGUCCAGACAUAGUAAGGAUUGACAGAUUGAUAGCUCUUUCGUGUUUCGGUGGGUGGUGGUGCAUGCCCGUCUUAGUUGGUGGAGUGAUUUGUCUGGUUAAUUCCGAUAACGAACGAGACCUUAACCUGCUAACUAGAUUCGAUCAUCUUAUGGUCGUUAUCUUCUUAGAGGGACUAUGUAACAUAAAUACAUGGAAGUUUGAGGCAAUAACAGGUCAGUGAUGCCCUUAUAUGUCCUGGGCUGCACGCGUGCUACACUGAUGCAUACAACAAGUGCCUAGCUAGACAUAGUAUGGCAAUCUGGAAUAUGCAUCGUGAUGGGGAUAGAUCUUUGCAAUUAUAGAUCUUGAACGAGGAAUUCCUAGUAAGUGCAAGUCAUCAUCGGGGGAGUAGAAAUAUGUCCCUGCCCUUGUACACACCGCCCGUCGCUCCUACCGAUACCGGGUGAUCCGGUGAACCUUUGGACCUAAUAGAAAAAUAAGUAAACCUAUCACCAGAGGAAGGAGCGGUCGG
RNAcentral lists this ribosomal RNA (811 nucleotides) under uncultured rumen protozoa. RNAcentral's name for it is "bacterial SSU rRNA". It matches the Rfam family "Eukaryotic small subunit ribosomal RNA", at positions 660 to 1792 of the family's 1831-position model. The record is from RNAcentral.